RNAcentral lists this ribosomal RNA (253 nucleotides) under uncultured bacterium. Its description in RNAcentral is "partial 16S ribosomal RNA". It matches the Rfam family "Bacterial small subunit ribosomal RNA", at positions 524 to 776 of the family's 1533-position model. The record is from RNAcentral.
UACAGAGGGGGCAAGCGUUGUUCGGAAUUACUGGGCGUAAAGGGCGCGUAGGCGGCCUGCUAAGUCGAACGUGAAAUCCCUGGACUCAACCCAGGAACUGCGUCCGAUACUGGUUGGCUUGAAUCCGGGAGAGGGAUGUGGAAUUCCAGGUGUAGCGGUGAAAUGCGUAGAUAUCUGGAGGAACACCGGUGGCGAAGGCGACAUCCUGGACCGGUAUUGACGCUGAGGCGCGAAAGCCAGGGGAGCAAACGGG